UCUCCGUUGGUGAACCAGCGGAGGGAUCAUUACUGAGACUUAUCUCAUAACCCUUUGUGAACCUUUAUAACCUGUUGCUUCGGCGGCGCGGCCCUCGGGUCGUGCCCGCCGGUAUCAUCAGAAUCUCUGUUCGAACCCGACGAUACUUCUGAGUGUUCUAAGCGAACUGUUAAAACUUUCAACAACGGAUCUCUUGGCUCCAGCAUCGAUGAAGAACGCAGC
RNAcentral lists this unclassified non-coding RNA (222 nucleotides) under uncultured fungus. RNAcentral describes it as "sequence contains ITS1, 5.8S rRNA gene". The stretch from base 174 to 222 matches the Rfam family "5.8S ribosomal RNA", at positions 1 to 49 of the family's 154-position model. The record is from RNAcentral. Lineage: Eukaryota; Fungi.